RNAcentral lists this long non-coding RNA (2304 nucleotides) under Triticum aestivum (bread wheat). Its description in RNAcentral is "long non-coding RNA (TAES_LNC018623)". Lineage: Eukaryota; Viridiplantae; Streptophyta; Magnoliopsida; Poales; Poaceae. The record is from RNAcentral.
UCAAAAUGCGGUCAAAACGGCGGGCAUGACCGUUCGUAGCUAGUGGUUGAAUCUUGGAAUUUUUUUGGUGUUUCUCUGAUUAAAUAGAUACUUAUGUACCUAGAAAUGAUUUUUGGAAAAAAUAAAGAGCAAACUAUGAGGCAGCUGCAGUUCAAAUUUGACCCGCUUCCUACUGAAUCGGCGGAAAUUUGUCUUUUUCACAAGAGGUGGGUCAAGGCUUUUGACACCCAACCAUUUGGUCAAUUGUGCAUUAAAUAUGGCCUAGUAUCUUAUAAAAUUUAUUAGGUCCAAAUUUGCAACAAAUAUAUGAUAGGUCCUUCACAAAAAAACUCAUUUCGGGCACUCAAAAAAUGAAAAUGAAUUUUCCGUGCAAAGAAAAUGAAAAGUCCCUUGGGAAACAUUGUUUGGAAUUCCAAGAUGCACCCUUGUGCACAAUAUGAGAUCAUUUGAACAAACUAUGCCAUGAAUGUGGCCAUAAGAUUGAUCAUUUGGCUUGAAAGCCAUGAAUCUUCACGCAUGAUAGCUCAUUUCUGAGAACACUUUUUUGAAAUAAUUGCCGUAUUACAAGUUUAUUAUUUUUCCUGGAAACUUGGUCACAUAUAAUGACACAAUGCGAAGGUUUUCCAAUUUUUUAUUUUUUUGAAUUUUUUAUGCCCGUUUUAAAAUGCGGUCAAAACGGCGGGCAUGACCGUUCGUAGCUAGUGGUUGAAUCUAGGAAUUUUUUUGGUGUUUCUCUGAUUGAAUAGAUACUUAUGUACCUAGAAAUGAUUUUUGAAAAAAAUAAAGAGCAAACUAUGAGGCAGCUGCAGUUCAAAUUUGACCCGCUUCCUGUUGAAUCGGCGGAAAUUUGUCUUUUUCACAAGAGGUGGGUCAAGGCUUUUGACACCCAACCAUUUGGUCAAUUGUGCAUUAAAUAUGGCCUAGUAUCUUAUAAAAUUGAUUAGGUCCAAUUUUGCAACAAAUAUAUGGUAAGUCCUUCACAAAAAAAACUCAUUUCGAGCACUGAAAAAAUGGAAAAUGAAUAUUCCGUGCAAAGAAAAUGAAAACUCCCUUAGGAAACAUUGAUUCGAAUUCCAAGAUGAAACCCUUGUGCACAAUAUGAGAUCAUAUGAACAAACUAUGCCAUGAAUGUGGCCAUAAGAUUGAUCAUUUGGCUUGAAAGCCAUGAAUCUUCACGCAUGAUAGCUCAUUUCUUAGAACACUUUUUUGAAAUAAUUGCCGUAUUACAAGUUUAUUUUUUUUCCUGGAAACUUGGUCACAUAUAAUGACACAAUGCGAAGGUUUUCCAAUUUUUUGAUUUUUUUAAAUUUGUUAUGCCCGUUUCAAAAUGCGGUCAAAACGGCGGGCAUGACCGUUCGUAGCUAGUGGUUGAAUCUUGGAAUUUUUUUUGGUGUUUCUCUGAUUAAAUAGAUACUUAUGUACCUAGAAAUGAUUUUUGGAAAAAAUAAAGAGCAAACUAUGAGGCAGCUGCAGUUCAAAUUUGACCCGCUUCCUGUUGAAUCGGCGGAAAUUUGUCUUUUUCACAAGAGGUGGGUCAAGGCUUUUGACACCCAACCAUUUGGUCAAUUGUGCAUUAAAUAUGGCCUAGUAUCUUAUAAAAUUGAUUAGGUCCAAUUUUGCAACAACUAUAUGGUAGGUCCUUCACACAAAAAAAACUCAUUUCGAGCACUCAAAAAAUGGAAAAUGAAUAUUCCGUGCAAAGAAAAUGAAAACUCCCUUAGGAAACAUUGAUUCGAAUUCCAAGAUGAACCCUUGUGCACAAUAUGAGAUCAUUUGAACAAACUAUGCCAUGAAUGUGGCCAUAAGAUUGAUCAUUUGGCUUGAAAGCCAUGAAUCUUCACGCAUGAUAGCUCAUUUCUGAUAACACUUUUUUGAAAUAAUUGUCGUAUUACAAGUUUAUUAUUUUUCCUGGAAACUUGGUCACAUAUAAUGACACAAUGCGAAGGUUUUCCUAUUUUUUGAUUUUUUUUUGAAUUUUUUAUGCCCGUUCCAAAAUGCGGUCAAAACGGCGGGCAUGACCGUUCGUAGCUAGUGGUUGAAUCUUGGAAUUUUUUUGGUGUUUCUCUGAUUAAAUAGAUACUUAUGUACCUAGAAAUGAUUUUUUGAAAAAAUAAAGAGCAAACUAUGAGGCAGCUGCAGUUCAAAUUUGACCCGCUUCCUACUGAAUCGGCGGAAAUUUGUCUUUUUCACAAGAGGUGGGUCAAGGCUUUUGACACCCAACCAUUUGGUCAAUUGUGCAUUAAAUAUGGCCUAGUAUUUUAUAAAUUUGAUUUGGUCCAAUUUUGCAACAAUUAUUUGGUAGGU